Ailuropoda melanoleuca (giant panda) is the source of this 342-nucleotide long non-coding RNA. RefSeq lists it as uncharacterized. The transcript is spliced from 3 exons. The record is from RefSeq and is a predicted model, not a curated record. Lineage: Eukaryota; Metazoa; Chordata; Mammalia; Carnivora; Ursidae.
UGAAAACCUGUCCUUGGAACUGGCGUUUCUAAAACCCAAACCCCAGUCUGCAGCAGAACACAUCACAGGUGUUGAAGAUGAAAAGAGAAGCUGAAUUCUGAUGAUCAAAAGUCUCCAGGAAGAAAGGAGCAGCGCUUUCCCAGAAAGAUUUGUUGUGAAACCUCUGUAGUUUCUCUAUUUGGAAGAGAAGGAACUCUGGAACUAGAAACGUCAAAAAUAAAAGUGAGCACAGUGGGCCCUCAGCAUCAAACUGGGGCCUAGAUUACUACCAAUGAGCCUGGACGAUCUGAAUAAAAUAAAGGUGGAGGAUACAUCAGUAUGAAAUCCGACGCUAAAUGCCCC